RNAcentral lists this ribosomal RNA (372 nucleotides) under uncultured organism. RNAcentral's name for it is "bacterial SSU rRNA". It matches the Rfam family "Bacterial small subunit ribosomal RNA", at positions 526 to 896 of the family's 1533-position model. The record is from RNAcentral.
CGUCGGUGGCGAGCGUUGUCCGGAUUUACUGGGCGUAAAGAGCGCGCAGGCGGUCGUGCAAGUCGCGUGUGAAAGCCCCCGGCUCAACUGGGGAGGGUCACGCGAUACUGCUCGACUCGAAGGCAGGAGAGGGAAGUGGAAUUCCCGGUGUAGUGGUGAAAUGCGUAGAUGUCGGGAGGAACACCAGUGGCGAAGGCGACUUCCUGGCCUGUUCUUGACGCUGAGGCGCGAAAGCUAGGGUAGCAAACGGGAUUAGAUACCCCGGUAGUCCUAGCCGUAAACGAUGGACACUAGGUGUUGGUGGUAUCAACCCCGCCAGUGCCGAAGCUAACGCAUUAAAUGUCCCGCCUGGGGAGUACGGCCGCAAGGCUA